GGAGCGUUCUGUAAGCCUGCGAAGGUGUGCUGUGAGGCAUGCUGGAGGUAUCAGAAGUGCGAAUGCUGACAUAAGUAACGAUAAAGCGGGUGAAAAGCCCGCUCGCCGGAAGACCAAGGGUUCCUGUCCAACGUUAAUCGGGGCAGGGUGAGUCGACCCCUAAGGCGAGGCCGAAAGGCGUAGUCGAUGGGAAACAGGUUAAUAUUCCUGUACUUGGUGUUACUGCGAAGGGGGGACGGAGAAGGCUAUGUUGGCCGGGCGACGGUUGUCCCGGUUUAAGCGUGUAGGCUGGUUUUCCAGGCAAAUCCGGAAAAUCAAGGCUGAGGCGUGAUGACGAGGCACUACGGUGCUGAAGCAACAAAUGCCCUGCUUCCAGGAAAAGCCUCUAAGCAUCAGGUAACAUCAAAUCGUACCCCAAACCGACACAGGUGGUCAGGUAGAGAAUACCAAGGCGCUUGAGAGAACUCGGGUGAAGGAACUAGGCAAAAUGGUGCCGUAACUUCGGGAGAAGGCACGCUGAUAUGUAGGUGAAGUCCCUUGCGGAUGGAGCUGAAAUCAGUCGAAGAUACCAGCUGGCUGCAACUGUUUAUUAAAAACACAGCACUGUGCAAACACGAAAGUGGACGUAUACGGUGUGACGCCUGCCCGGUGCCGGAAGGUUAAUUGAUGGGGUCAGCGCAAGCGAAGCUCUUGAUCGAAGCCCCGGUAAACGGCGGCCGUAACUAUAACGGUCCUAAGGUAGCGAAAUUCCUUGUCGGGUAAGUUCCGACCUGCACGAAUGGCGUAAUGAUGGCCAGGCUGUCUCCACCCGAGACUCAGUGAAAUUGAACUCGCUGUGAAGAUGCAGUGUACCCGCGGCAAGACGGAAAGACCCCGUGAACCUUUACUAUAGCUUGACACUGAACAUUGAGCCUUGAUGUGUAGGAUAGGUGGGAGGCUUUGAAGUGUGGACGCCAGUCUGCAUGGAGCCGGCCUUGAAAUACCACCCUUUAAUGUUUGAUGUUCUAACGUGGACCCGUGAUCCGGGUUGCGGACAGUGUCUGGUGGGUAGUUUGACUGGGGCGGUCUCCUCCUAAAGAGUAACGGAGGAGCACGAAGGUUGGCUAAUCCUGGUCGGACAUCAGGAGGUUAGUGCAAUGGCAUAAGCCAGCUUGACUGCGAGCGUGACGGCGCGAGCAGGUGCGAAAGCAGGUCAUAGUGAUCCGGUGGUUCUGAAUGGAAGGGCCAUCGCUCAACGGAUAAAAGGUACUCCGGGGAUAACAGGCUGAUACCGCCCAAGAGUUCAUAUCGACGGCGGUGUUUGGCACCUCGAUGUCGGCUCAUCACAUCCUGGGGCUGAAGUAGGUCCCAAGGGUAUGGCUGUUCGCCAUUUAAAGUGGUACGCGAGCUGGGUUUAGAACGUCGUGAGACAGUUCGGUCCCUAUCUGCCGU
This 1431-nucleotide ribosomal RNA is filed under the name Shigella sonnei. RNAcentral describes it as "partial 23S ribosomal RNA". It matches the Rfam family "Bacterial large subunit ribosomal RNA", at positions 1233 to 2648 of the family's 2925-position model. Lineage: Bacteria; Pseudomonadati; Pseudomonadota; Gammaproteobacteria; Enterobacterales; Enterobacteriaceae. The record is from RNAcentral.